Molecule: long non-coding RNA, 3915 nt
Filed under: Gallus gallus (chicken)
Lineage: Eukaryota; Metazoa; Chordata; Aves; Galliformes; Phasianidae
Description: lncRNA (ENSGALG00010015519.1)
Source: RNAcentral
UUAGAAUUAAUUUGUGCAUAUAGUACUUAGACCCAUUAGCAAGAAUUGAACGGAUAAUUACAUUAAGCUAGAGUUGCUCACCAAAAUUUUAAGCAAACAUCUGAUCCAACCUGCAAACCAGCACCUCCACUGUUAGCCAGGAUUCAGAACAAGCUGCAGAGAUUAGGAUGUGACAUACCUACAAAGCUAGUUAGCUCUUCCUACCUAUGCCUGUUUCUGCAAGAUGAACUGGACUGCAUCUCACCUUCAUAUGCCAUGGUCAACAAUUUCAAGUGAAAACUGAGCUGACUUUGCCAAAUACUCAUUCAAGAAAAUAAAUAAUUCAUUUAGCAGGCAGCACUUGGGGAAAUGCAAGAAGCUUUUAGGAAACAACACCUACCUUCCAGCCCACGGCUUUCUUACAGGUGGCCGUAUACUGUGAUUGCUGCUGUUUGUAACAGUGUCUGAAUAAUUUGUUUGUAGCUUCCUCCUCAUUCUGAACAAUCCAAUCCUGCAAUUAAAAAACAGAGUUAAGACGAAAGGAGCAUUACACCAGUAAAGUACGUUAGUGACCAAUUCACGCGCCAGACCCAUAGAAUUCAGUUUUGUUUUUAAAAUAGAAACAAUCUUAAGGAUAUAAACUAGCUGUGCUAAUUAAACAUGCUGAAAAUUAGGCAUAACAUUUCUGACAAGGGCCUAGAAUAAAUGUCCUUGUUUUCAGUACUCUCUCCAGAUAUACUGCAUCUAUUAAGCAGGAUCACGGCUGUCCUGUUAAUUUCUGCCAUCUGUGGUCAGUUAAAGUUAAAUAAAUUGAUGUUACCAUUCUGAUAAUUUGAUCAUGUAAACCUUUUCUUUUGGUGCCUUAAGUACAAGGAACUACAGAAUGGUAUAUUUUUGAGGGGAGAAAAUUUCUGGCAUAAUUCCUUCACCAUACAAGAUCAGCUUUUUUGUUAGCUGCAUUUUUAAGUCAUCUACAUGGGAUCCAGUUAUUUAAGUUUGAUUCAUCUUCUUUUAACCUGCUGUUAGAAGGAAGAUGUUCGUGCCUUAGCUUUAAGCUCACUGAUCACAGGAGCAGCAAAUCGAUCCAUUUCUUGAAGAUGGUUGGAAAUACCAUCAAAGGGAAAGCAGCGUCUGCGCCCAUUUCAUUUCAGGUUCUGAACUAGUUCUAAACUGAGAGGUAGAAGAAAGAUGCAUCAAACAGCUUUGCCAGGAAGCAACUUAAUAGCAUGGGAAAAACACCUGGACAAAGAAUGAAAUGAAAAAUGAGGUGAUGGGAGAGAGACCAAAUGCUUAAUCACUACGUUGUUUGGUGCAUCUUGGUCAUGUCCUAGGCUGAUCUCUAUCUACUAAAAAUGGCGUUAGAGCUACUGACGCUUUAUUUGUAGGAAAUAAAUGUUUACAAGAGGAAAGAGAUUACUUAAUUUUCAAGACCAAGAGUUCUUGCAAAGGAAUUUGUUAAACAACCGUAAAGCCAAGGAGAAGUGCUUCACAGCAGCGGUGACGGAAGAGCUCUGACUGAGGAUUCACAGACCAUGUGCAAAACUAUUUCAGACAGUUCUUAAUCACUAGCUUGAAAACCAGCAGGCACUCUGAAUGCCAGGGGUAUCAAGGUGAAUGUCACAUACACUGCAAAGAGUAUUUUCUUUUUUAAUUGGCAAUGCUUGAAAAAGGUGGCAGAGGCUUUGCAGGCUAUUGGGAAGGUGCAGAAAUAUGGAGGUGAUACAGCACUAAUGCUGCACUUGUUGCAAAUGUACUCUCUCACAAAAUGUACUGAAAUACUGGAAAGUUUGCAGAACACUUCUCUUUAAGAGAGAGAAAAUAAAAGAACAAGUGAAACUUGGUCCAGAUUAGAUCACAAGUCUUUAAAACCAGAGAGGGAAGUGAAGAAGACAGCAAGAUGAAAGGGAAGAGGAGACAAAAGCAAUUUACAGCACUGUGAGUGCCAGACCCUCCGUGUGCACUCAUGCAGCUCCUCAGUUUGUGAGGACCCCAGAUGAGCCCCUCCUGAAAAGCAUUCCCUCUUCUAACAGGCGUGGGCAGUACAAAAGCAAUGAUCUGGACCAGCUGCAAACCUCAGCUCCUGAGCAUCUCAACACACCUACAUCAAGUAUGGCCACCUCUGUUCCAAAAUUGGUGAUCCUUAGAACACCCCGGGAGCAGGCUUAGCUGGAACACUAACACACAAACUUGCGUGCAGCAGUAGCAGGCAGUGAAGGUACCACCUCCUUCCACGGAGCACAGAGCCAGAGCCCUGCAGCCAGCCGCUCCCCUGGGAUGGCAAGAUGAUCCCAGUGGUCUUCUGCAGCCUUAAUGACUCUUUGAUUCUCUAUUUCUGAGGGAACUCAAGCAGCCCUUGAAAAGAGCAACUAGCUGUGAGGAGCAAAGAGGAAACUGCUGCAGAAAACAAAUGGCAGAUAGAGUUAAUGGAUUUUCUUACAAGCUGCACGUUUUCUUGACAAGGAACUGCGGAGACCAUUGCUGUAAAGACCUACAAAGGAUUCAGAAUACUGCUGGGUCAGCAAUUUUUGCCUUCGGUUUGUGUUGCAGAGCAGUAUUUGCAAGCUCAGGCAAAAGUCUAAUUGCAGUAUUACAGUACAGUGACAAACCUGAAUAAAAUUGCCUCUUUGAGAAAACUGAGGUAUGUGCAAACUGAAAUUAAAAAAAAAAAAAAAGAACACAUUACUUGUCUAAGACGCAUUCGUUCAUUCCUUCUCCUAAGUGGUUUAUCAAUGGGAGAUGCACCUGCACGAAAUAACUUCUAUUUCUACACAGGAAUAUAUUUAAAGGAAAAUCUGAAUGAAAACAACAGAGCAGGCUAAGGGAGUUUAUGAGUAGAGAUACUUAGGCAUAUAUCUUAAGGCUGUAAACAUGCUAUGUUCUUACUGCUGCUGACAGCGUGGUCUGUAAAUGAUGGCUGGCAAAUACGGCAGAUAAUCUCAUGGGACCAGAAGAAUGACUUGAAGCUCUAGAUGCUGAAGCAGAAUCCAGAACAGCCCUGCCACUGUAACUGAACAGUACCUUAAAUGACAAGGUCUGCUCCAAAAGUAAUGCCUCCUGUUUUAUUCUGCUGUCCCGUGACUUCAGAGGCGGAUGUUGGUGGUAAAGGUUGAACCUUCCCACCGAUAUCCCAUCAUAAUUUGCUGCUCUGUGACAGAUGGCAGCAGAGGGGAAGUCUGACAAAAUAGCAUCCAACAUGGAAGUACACAUGAAGCAGAAGUGUGUCAUGGAAUUCCUCCAUAUGGAAAAAAUGGCACCCACUGACGUUCAUCGACACUUGUUGAAUGCUUACAGAGACCACACAGCGGAUGGAUGCAAGCACAGUGAGGGUUGGGUGGUGUAUUUCAGCAGUGGCAACAGAAACAUGAAAGACAAGACACAUUCCAGACAGCCAUGCGCAUCUGUCACACCACAAAAUAAAGAGCAUCCUGAUCAGCUCAUCAGAGAGAAUCGGCUGAUUAUGAUCAGAGAAUUGUGCACAGAGGUGAAUAUCAGCCUCAAUGAAUUAGAAACAACAGUGGCAACAUUGAAAAAUCAUGACGUUUGCACUAGUUGGGUCCCACAAGUGGUCACAUAGGAACAGAAAUAACACUGUAUGCAUGUUUGUCAGGACCAAGCGAACCAAUACGAGGCUGAAGGUGACAGUUCCAUGGACCACAUCACUACUAGUGAUGAGACGUGGUGUCACCACCAAGAGCUAGAGUAAAAACAGCAGUCAAUGGAGAGGCAACAUGUGAGUUCCUCACUGAAGACAAAGUUCAAGAUGCAGCCCUCAGCAGGUAGAAGUGAUGUGCACUGUUUUUUUGGAUAGGAAAGGCAUGGUCCUUCUGGAUUUACUGGAACCCAGCAAGCCAUCAUCUCUUACCGCUACACUGCAACAGUGACUGAGCUGAAGGCUUGCACUUCCAGAGUUUCCUAUUUCUCUAUCAAAGAGUGUUG